Molecule: long non-coding RNA, 448 nt
Filed under: Equus caballus (horse)
Lineage: Eukaryota; Metazoa; Chordata; Mammalia; Perissodactyla; Equidae
Description: lncRNA (ENSECAG00000059428.1)
Source: RNAcentral
CUUAGAUUAUUCAUCGACUGAAGAGGGAGACAGAGAGAGAGAAAGAGAAGAGGAAGAAGAGAGAAAAAUGAAGAGCAAUGGGGUGUGAUCCUUCCCAUGAAACUAUCCCCAAAUCCUUCUAAAGACUUCCAUCUAGGUUCUUUGGAGACCUCUGCUGUCGGAAAGGAGCUUGUCUGGUUCAGCCGUGUGGGAGAGACCCCUCAAAUAAAUGAAUGAAGAGGUCAAGCUGGAAAAGGAUUCCUACAGGACCCAGGCCCGGAUUUCUCUAAGGCCAUAGGAGAAGGAUGGGAGAAGUUAGGGCUAUGGAGUGAAGAAGGUCUGUGGUAUGGAGGGGAAUUGAGUGCCAAGUAAUAACCAUGCACUGUCUUCUCUUUACCUUUUCUUUUGGGGGGAACUUGGAAGAAGUUGUGAAAGACUGCUAAUAUUCUCUUCUCACUUUCACUUAGGG